This 828-nucleotide ribosomal RNA is filed under the name uncultured archaeon. RNAcentral's name for it is "bacterial SSU rRNA". It matches the Rfam family "Archaeal small subunit ribosomal RNA", at positions 5 to 835 of the family's 1478-position model. The record is from RNAcentral.
CGGUUGAUCCUGCCGGAGGUUACUGCUAUCGGUGUUCGCCUAAGCCAUGCGAGUCAUAUGUAGCAAUACAUGGCGUACUGCUCAGUAACACGUGGAUAACCUGCCCUUGGGUCCGGCAUAACCCCGGGAAACUGGGGAUAAUUCCGGAUAACGCACAUAUGCUGGAAUGCUUUUUGCGUAAAAUGGAUUCGUCUGCCCAAGGAUGGGUCUGCGGCCUAUCAGGUAGUAGUGGGUGUAAUGUACCUACUAGCCUACGACGGGUACGGGUUGUGAGAGCAAGAGCCCGGAGAUGGAUUCUGAGACAUGAAUCCAGGCCCUACGGGGCGCAGCAGGCGCGAAAACUUUACAAUGCGGGAAACCGUGAUAAGGGGACACCGAGUGCUAGCAUCAUAUGCUGGCUGUCCAGGUGUGUAAAAUACACCUGUUAGCAAGGGCCGGGCAAGACCGGUGCCAGCCGCCGCGGUAACACCGGCGGCCCGAGUGGUGAUCGUGAUUAUUGGGUCUAAAGGGUCCGUAGCCUGUUUGGUCAGUCCUCCGGGAAAUCUGACAGCUUAACUGUUAGGCUUUCGGAGGAUACUGCCAGACUUGGAACCGGGAGAGGUAAGAGGUACUACAGGGGUAGGAGUGAAAUCUUGUAAUCCCUGUGGGACCACCUGUGGCGAAGGCGUCUUACCAGAACGGGUUCGACGGUGAGGGACGAAAGCUGGGGGCACGAACCGGAUUAGAUACCCGAGUAGUCCCAGCCGUAAACGAUGCUCGCUAGGUGUCAGGNAUGGCNCGACCGUGUCUGGUGCCGCAGGGAANCCGUGAAGCGAGCNACCUGGGAAG